Molecule: long non-coding RNA, 1299 nt
Organism: Cynoglossus semilaevis (tongue sole)
Lineage: Eukaryota; Metazoa; Chordata; Actinopteri; Pleuronectiformes; Cynoglossidae
Exons: 3
Source: RefSeq, a predicted model, not a curated record
UAGAUUGGACUGUAACAACCACGCACAGAUAUAGUUUCUCUUUAAGAGAGUACAACUACAAGCAAUGUUAGCAACAAGCUAACCCCAACAUUUGUUACUGGCAGCCAUUUGUCAACAGCUGCCAUCACUUACUUAAAAGAAAAGUAUGCUAUCACCAGUUAACAUUAGACAUCAUCCUUGCUGCCCCAGAACCGUAAGGUAUGCUUAUGUUCUGUUGUGGUCGGUUUGGCUGAUAAUAAACACCCCAACUUCCCUGUUUCUGUUUACCUCUGCUGCAGAAGUGAAGGGAGUUAGCCCCCGAGCUAAUGUUAGCUUCGGCCCUGGAGCAGAUUGCUAAGUCUCCUCGGUGCAUUCUAACUGCGGCCGAGGCUCCGAAGCAGGUACGAAGUGGGGCUUCAAGAUACGAGCUACCCCAAAUACGAGAUACGGAAAGCAGACGGGGAGCUCCAAAGCAAACCUCCAUCUCGGGAAGGGCUGAAGAUCAAAAGGAGCUAUAGGAGGAGGAGGAGGAGGAGAAUAGAUGGGUAAACAUGUAAAGAACAGUGCACAAACGAGGUGAAGCAAAGGAUGCAGACAUUGGGAAUGGAUGGGAAGGGAACGUGGGGGGUUUCGUAACAGAGAGCAUUUUUAAUAGAGAAAAAUGGUAGCAAUGUUGAAAGAUCACGUUUGUUUGACAGUAGUGAGAUCUGCUAUGAUGUAUGGUUCAGAGACUUAAUAGACAAAAGACUAAGUUGGAGGUGGCAGAGCUGAAUAUGUUUAGAUCUUCACUGGGAGUGAAACAGGAUGGGAAGGAUUAGAAAUGAGCAGAUCAGAGGGACAGUACCACGUACAGAGAAACAACCCUUAUGUUUAUUCUUAUGGUUGAUGAAGAAUAUCCAAAUGAUCUUCUCCGUAACCUUCAUAUUUCUUGUCUGUGAUAGGAACAAAAAAACCUGAGGAAAAACACACAUGCUGAUGAUGUGCAAAGUCCAUACAGCAAGUGGGAGAGAUGAACCAGCAAACUGGCCAGGACACUGUGACCGACCAAUCCACUACAAUGGACAAAUUAAAAGUAAGGUGCAAACAUUUUUUCUCUCUUUGUUUUUGGACUAUGACGGAUGAAGCUGUUUUCUACUAUCACAUUGUUGAAAGGUUAAUUAAAAAGCAAAAAACGUUACGUUUUAAGAUAGCAAAACAAGGUCACGGGCUAACACGAGCUUCUAAUUACCUUACACUCUUGUCAGAUUCCACCUGUGUUUUUUUUUAAUCCCAUCUCACCACUGUUUUAUACCGAGUUCCUUUUAAGUUGCAAACAUUUGU